CAACGUAAGCAACCUGCCCGAAAGACCGGGACAACAGCUCGAAAGGGCUGCUAAUACCGGAUGUGUCCGCUUUGCCUCCUGGCUUAGCGAGUAAAUCAUUUAUGGCUUUCGGAGGGGCUUGCGGCCUAUCAGCUAGAUGGCGAGGUAACGGCUCACCAUGGCGACGACGGGUAGCUGGUCUGAGAGGAUGGUCAGCCGGACUGGGACUGAGAUACGGCCCAG
Molecule: ribosomal RNA, 222 nt
Filed under: uncultured bacterium
Lineage: Bacteria
Description: partial 16S ribosomal RNA
Rfam family: Bacterial small subunit ribosomal RNA
Source: RNAcentral